GGCCUGCCUAUCAGCUUUUGUGGGUUAAUGCCUACCCAGGCGACCGACGGGUAGCCGGCCAGAGAGGGCGACCGGCCACACUGGGACUGAGAUACGGCCCAGACUCCUACGGGAGGCAACAGUGGGGAAUAUUGCGCAAUGGGCGAAAGCCUGACGCAGCAACUGCCGCGUGCGGGAUGACGGCCUUCGGGUUGUAAACCGCUUUCAGCAGGGACGAAGGUUUUCUGACGGUACCUGCAGAAGAAGCACCGGCCAAACUACGUGCCAGCAGACCUGCGGUAAUACGUAGGGUGCGAGCGUUGUCCGGAAUUAUUGGGCGUAAAGAGCUUGUAGGCGGUUUGUCACGUCGGAAGUGAAAACUCAGGGCUCAACCCUGAGCCGGCUUCCGAUACGGGCAGACUAGAGGAAGGUAGGGGAGAAUGGAACUCCUGGUGGAGCGGUGGAAUGCGCAGAUAUCGGGAAGAACACCGGUGGCGAAGGCGGUUCUCUGGACCUUUCCUGACGCUGAGAAGCGAAAGCGUGGGGAGCAAACAGGCUUAGAUACCCUGGUAGUCCACGCCGUAAACGGUGGGCACUAGGUGUGGGACUCAUUCCACGAGUUCCGUGCCGUAGCUAACGCAUUAAGUGCCCCGCCUGGGGAGUACGG
This 646-nucleotide ribosomal RNA is filed under the name Propionicimonas sp. ENT-18. RNAcentral's name for it is "bacterial SSU rRNA". It matches the Rfam family "Bacterial small subunit ribosomal RNA", at positions 231 to 885 of the family's 1533-position model. Lineage: Bacteria; Bacillati; Actinomycetota; Actinomycetes; Propionibacteriales; Nocardioidaceae. The record is from RNAcentral.